This 473-nucleotide ribosomal RNA is filed under the name uncultured bacterium. RNAcentral describes it as "bacterial SSU rRNA". It matches the Rfam family "Bacterial small subunit ribosomal RNA", at positions 328 to 793 of the family's 1533-position model. The record is from RNAcentral.
GCAAAGCACUCCUACGGGAGGCAGCAGUGGGGAAUAUUGCACAAUGGGGGAAACCCUGAUGCAGCCAUGCCGCGUGUGUGAAGAAGGCCUUCGGGUUGUAAAGCACUUUCAGUAGGGAGGAAGGUAGUGUAGUUAACACCUGCACUAUUUGACGUUACCUACAGAAGAAGCACCGGCUAACUCCGUGCCAGCAGCCGCGGUAAUACGGAGGGUGCGAGCGUUAAUCGGAAUUACUGGGCGUAAAGCGCAUGCAGGCGGCCUGUUAAGUCAGAUGUGAAAGCCCGGGGCUUAACCUCGGAAUUGCAUUUGAAACUGGCAGGCUAGAGUCUUGUAGAGGGGGUAGAAUUUCAGGUGUAGCGGUGAAAAUGCGUAGAGAUCUGAAGGAAUACCAGUGGCGAAGGCGGCCCCCUGGACAAAGACUGACGCUCAGAUGCGAAAGCGUGGGGAGCAAACAGGAUUAGAUACCCUGGUAG